This 1372-nucleotide ribosomal RNA is filed under the name uncultured bacterium. RNAcentral describes it as "bacterial SSU rRNA". It matches the Rfam family "Bacterial small subunit ribosomal RNA", at positions 28 to 1381 of the family's 1533-position model. The record is from RNAcentral.
GAUGAACGCUGGCGGCGUGCCUAAUACAUGCAAGUCGAGCGAACGGACGAGAAGCUUGCUUCUCUGAUGUUAGCGGCGGACGGGUGAGUAACACGUGGAUAACCUACCUAUAAGACUGGGAUAACUUCGGGAAACCGGAGCUAAUACCGGAUAAUAUUUUGAACCGCAUGGUUCAAAAGUGAAAGACGGUCUUGCUGUCACUUAUAGAUGGAUCCGCGCUGCAUUAGCUAGUUGGUAAGGUAACGGCUUACCAAGGCAACGAUGCAUAGCCGACCUGAGGGGGUGAUCGGCCACACUGGAACUGAGACACGGUCCAGACUCCUACGGGAGGCAGCAGUAGGGAAUCUUCCGCAAUGGGCGAAAGCCUGACGGAGCAACGCCGCGUGAGUGAUGAAGGUCUUCGGAUCGUAAAACUCUGUUAUUAGGGAAGAACAUAUGUGUAAGUAACUGUGCACAUCUUGACGGUACCUAAUCAGAAAGCCACGGCUAACUACGUGCCAGCAGCCGCGGUAAUACGUAGGUGGCAAGCGUUAUCCGGAAUUAUUGGGCGUAAAGCGCGCGUAGGCGGUUUUUUAAGUCUGAUGUGAAAGCCCACGGCUCAACCGUGGAGGGUCAUUGGAAACUGGAAAACUUGAGUGCAGAAGAGGAAAGUGGAAUUCCAUGUGUAGCGGUGAAAUGCGCAGAGAUAUGGAGGAACACCAGUGGCGAAGGCGACUUUCUGGUCUGUAACUGACGCUGAUGUGCGAAAGCGUGGGGAUCAAACAGGAUUAGAUACCCUGGUAGUCCACGCCGUAAACGAUGAGUGCUAAGUGUUAGGGGGUUUCCGCCCCUUAGUGCUGCAGCUAACGCAUUAAGCACUCCGCCUGGGGAGUACGACCGCAAGGUUGAAACUCAAAGGAAUUGACGGGGACCCGCACAAGCGGUGGGGCAUGUGGUUUAAUUCGAAGCAACGCGAAGAACCUUACCAAAUCUUGACAUCCUUUGACAACUCUAGAGAUAGAGCUUUCCCCUUCGGGGGACAAAGUGACAGGUGGUGCAUGGUUGUCGUCAGCUCGUGUCGUGAGAUGUUGGGUUAAGUCCCGCAACGAGCGCAACCCUUAAGCUUAGUUGCCAUCAUUAAGUUGGGCACUCUAAGUUGACUGCCGGUGACAAACCGGAGGAAGGUGGGGAUGACGUCAAAUCAUCAUGCCCCUUAUGAUUUGGGCUACACACGUGCUACAAUGGACAAUACAAAGGGCAGCGAAACCGCGAGGUCAAGCAAAUCCCAUAAAGUUGUUCUCAGUUCGGAUUGUAGUCUGCAACUCGACUACAUGAAGCUGGAAUCGCUAGUAAUCGUAGAUCAGCAUGCUACGGUGAAUACGUUCCCGGGUCU